Molecule: long non-coding RNA, 667 nt
Organism: Triticum dicoccoides
Lineage: Eukaryota; Viridiplantae; Streptophyta; Magnoliopsida; Poales; Poaceae
Exons: 2
Source: RefSeq, a predicted model, not a curated record
GGCUGCCUCUGCCCGGGCUGAGGACCGCGCUGCCGCACGCCAGCCUAUGGCCGCCGCCGCGGAGCCGCGAGACACCGCGUUUGCUGCCGGGCGUUGCCAUGCCGGGCACUGGCCAUUGGCCACUGCCGCCGUUGUGCGUUACGCGCCUGGCCGCCUCAUCGAAAAAGAUGCAGGCCUGGAGUGCAUCCUCCGCCACGCCGGGGCCGUGGUCCACGGCCGCCUCGGGGUGCAGCACCGGGAGCAGCCGGGCUGAAGGAUGUCGCCACUCCACGAGGAGCCUAGCCGAGGGAAACGUCGUCCGGGCCAUGGGUCGCUGCCGAAGUUUGCUUUGGACGGCAUUAAAAAUGAUGCCCUAGAGGGCGCCGCACCAGAAGAGCGGUCGCCGCUCGACGCUGAUGGGUACUGCGGGCGCGAGCACCGCGCUUGAGAGUGGCCUCGGCGGGGCGUCCAUGGUCUGACAUUGACACGCGCCCGAGGACUCUGUUGCCGGAGAGCCACGCGUCGGCUGUGUCUCUGCCUCCAGAUGCGAGAGAGCCGCCUCACCGCUGUUUCCCCUUCGCUUUCUUCUCUGCGGCCAAAUCACUCUCGGUUAUGAGCGUGCUGAUAACGUGUUAAAGUAAACUGAUUGAGAAUGAAUCUCUGAAUUUCAUUGAUGAUGAUUGGGGUA